This 480-nucleotide ribosomal RNA is filed under the name uncultured Bacillus sp. RNAcentral's name for it is "bacterial SSU rRNA". It matches the Rfam family "Bacterial small subunit ribosomal RNA", at positions 94 to 560 of the family's 1533-position model. The record is from RNAcentral. Lineage: Bacteria; Bacillati; Bacillota; Bacilli; Caryophanales; Bacillaceae.
AGCGGCGGACGGGUGAGUAACACGUGGGCAACCUGCCUCUAAGACUGGGAUAACACCGGGAAGACGAUGCUAAUACCGGAUAAUUCUUUACCGCUCAUGAGGUAAAGCUGAAAGUCGGUUUCGGCUGACACUUGCAGAUGGGCCCGCGGCGCAUUAGCUAGUUGGUGAGGUAACGGCUCACCAAGGCGACGAUGCGUAGCCGACCUGAGAGGGUGAUCGGCCACACUGGGCCUGAGACACGGCCCAGACUCCUACGGGAGGCAGCAGUACGGAAUCUUCCGCAAUGGACGAAAGUCUGACGGAGCAACGCCGCGUGAGUGAUGAAGGCCUUCGGGUCGUAAAACUCUGUUGUUAGGGAAGAACAAGUAUCGGAGUAACUGCCGGUACCUUGACGGUACCUAACCAGAAAGCCACGGCUAACUACGUGCCAGCAGACGCGGUAAUACGUAGGUGGCAAGCGUUGUCCGGAAUUAUUGGGCG